AAGGACUGUUUUGUGCGCCACUGCACUACACACUAGACGGACGUACAUGAGGACAGCGCACCGAUAACUUAUCUUAUUACUGGGCUGGUGGGAAAUUCAUAACACUUUGGAGGUUGAUUUGUGUAUUAUCUGCACCAGACCUCAACAUAGCUGUUUGACGGACCACAAUGGCUGUGUACUCCAGACACCUGGAUCUCUCCUUGCCUUGACAAUACAGUUUACAAUUAAACGUGAGAAAGACCCAAACAUCUAAUAAUACUUAGCACCAACCAGGAGUUUCUUUGUUGAACUGUUUCUGUUCCUGUUGAGUGUUAUAUCACUGAG
Molecule: long non-coding RNA, 324 nt
Filed under: Salmo trutta (river trout)
Lineage: Eukaryota; Metazoa; Chordata; Actinopteri; Salmoniformes; Salmonidae
Description: lncRNA (ENSSTUG00000007528.1)
Source: RNAcentral